GUGCUUGCUCAGGCAAAGCAGCACAUACACUAAAAUUGGAAUGAUACAGAGAAGUUUAGCAUGACCCUUGUGAAAGGAUAACAUGUGAAUUUGUGAAGCGUUCUGUAUUGAA
RNAcentral lists this small nuclear RNA (112 nucleotides) under Propithecus coquereli (Coquerel's sifaka). The record is from RNAcentral. Lineage: Eukaryota; Metazoa; Chordata; Mammalia; Primates; Indriidae.